CUCAGGUGGAUCUGCACAUGCCCCAGCAGACACGUGCACCCGUCCCUCCUGCCUGCACUGGGGUUUGUUUUGCCAUCUACGUGCAAAAUCACCAGCAGAAAUUCUGUGAUCUGGAGCGAUUUGGUCCGAUGCUUCAAGAACAGACCGCUCUGCACACCUUAGGAAGUGCAAAAAGGAAAAAGAAAAGAUAGAACCCCAAUCGCUCCAUCACAUCAAAGCCGGCUGCCUCCCGCGCAGACAGGAGGACGCGACAGAAUUCACAGUGAAGUUGCUGGUAAAAUGGCCCCGUUUGUGCUGAAUACUGGGUUUAAUGCACUGAAACUACUUCCACUGGCACGUGGGGCUGGUCAUGUGCUUUUGACACGAAAACUGUAACUUUGGUGUGAUAAUUUAAUCUCUCGUGUUGUGAAACACAUCUCACAGCAUAGCUUUUCCCCCAACUCUUUCUGUUUUGUCAAAGCAAAGUAAGUUUGUGCUAUUAUCGGCUUUCCUUGCCUCGUUUUUCUUUU
Molecule: long non-coding RNA, 509 nt
Organism: Egretta garzetta (little egret)
Lineage: Eukaryota; Metazoa; Chordata; Aves; Pelecaniformes; Ardeidae
Exons: 3
Source: RefSeq, a predicted model, not a curated record